CGGCAUGCUUUACACAUGCAAGUCGGACGGCAGCGGGGUAGUGCUUGCACUACUGCCGGCGAGUGGCGAACGGGUGAGUAAUAUAUUGGAACGUACCGAGUAAUGGGGGAUAACCAAUCGAAAGAUUGGCUAAUACCGCAUACGCUCUGAGGAGGAAAGCAGGGGACCUUCGGGCCUUGCGUUAUUCGAGCGGCCAAUAUCUGAUUAGCUAGUUGGUGGGGUAAAGGCCUACCAAGGCGACGAUCAGUAGCGGGUCUGAGAGGAUGAUCCGCCACACUGGGACUGAGACACGGCCCAGACUCCUACGGGAGGCAGCAGUGGGGAAUUUUGGACAAUGGGCGCAAGCCUGAUCCAGCCAUGCCGCGUGUCUGAAGAAGGCCUUCGGGUUGUAAAGGACUUUUGUUAGGGAAGAAAAAGGAGCGGUUAAUACCCGUUUCUGCUGACGGUACCUAAAGAAUAAGCACCG
This 466-nucleotide ribosomal RNA is filed under the name Neisseria elongata. Its description in RNAcentral is "bacterial SSU rRNA". It matches the Rfam family "Bacterial small subunit ribosomal RNA", at positions 40 to 495 of the family's 1533-position model. The record is from RNAcentral. Lineage: Bacteria; Pseudomonadati; Pseudomonadota; Betaproteobacteria; Neisseriales; Neisseriaceae.